RNAcentral lists this ribosomal RNA (250 nucleotides) under uncultured bacterium. RNAcentral describes it as "partial 16S ribosomal RNA". It matches the Rfam family "Bacterial small subunit ribosomal RNA", at positions 524 to 773 of the family's 1533-position model. The record is from RNAcentral.
UACAGAGAGUGCAAGCGUUAAUCGGAGUUACUGGGCGUAAAGGGCGCGUAGGUGGAUGAUAACGUCAGAUGUGAAAUAGCCCUGCUUAACGGGGCGAGGUCAUCUGAAACGGGUUGUCUAGAGUGAGAGAGAGGUCAGAGGAAUUUCCGGUGUAGCGGUGAAAUGCGUAGAUAUCGGAAGGAACAUCAGUGGCGAAGGCGUCUGACUGGCUCUUAACUGACACUGAGGCGCGAAAGCGUGGGUAGCGAAC